CAAAUUAUUUGUUACUUAAGUGCUUACAUAAAAAUUAACAUCAUCCAUUCCCUCACUAGAUUUUGUUUUCCAGACGUUGUUUCCAUCACUUAAAUUAUCACUAAGACUAUCAUCAGGUACGUACGCAAUUAACAAUUCCUUUUUUUUUUUCUUUCUUUUUUCCCAAUAGUCAGAAAUCUUCAUUAAUUUGUACCUUAGAUUGAUUUGUUAUUAUUCUACCAAACAUCAAUCAGUAUUAAAAAUAUUUUAAUCAUAUGUCUAGAUUAAUUUUUUGUUAUUGUUGUGAUGAAUUUUGAGUAAGAUGGCAUGAUUUAGGUAUAAAGGAAAGGUAGAGAAUGGAAUUGGUGAUAUCGCUACCAUUAAUAGUGUUAAUCUUGAUAUUGGCUUUAGCAUGCUACCUUUUGGGGAGGUGCAGGGGUAGUAAACAAUCAAUUUCUCAUCCACAACAGUUUGGGCCUCCAGCUCCUCCACCACAAGCCCAACCAUGAUAACAAAAGGCCCAAAAUUGUUUUAGAUUAUUAUUAGUAUAUGGUUAUUGGACUUUGAAAACUAACUAUUAUAUGUAAUUGUAAAUAAUUAUCUAGUAAUACUAUGUUAAUGCUAUAUUCAUGUAGAAUUGAGCAACACAGAAGGAGAAAAAUUGUCGUAAUACGAUUGAUAUUUAUUAUUGUUACUCAUUCAUGACUUUAUCUUGAAUGUAUAGUUGAAAAAUUUAAUUUUGUUUUCCCAUUAACAGUAUGUUGAAUACUUGAAUGGUUGUUGUUUUGGGAUUAGAUUCAAGAUUAAGACAUGAAUGAGUAACAAUAUAAUAUGUAGUUUUGUUUUUUGGUUACAUGAUAAAAGCAAAAAGAAAAAAGAAAAAGUAAAAGAAAAAACUAUUGGCCGCGAAAAUAAUUGACAUCCAUACUAUCCGCCAUAAGUAGUAAACGGAGUUCAGCUGGAGGAUCAAGAACCAUCAAUAGUUUGCUCAUAGAUCUUGUCCCAAACUUUGCUAAAGAGUCAACACACAUAUUACCCUCUUUGAGUGAGUGACACACAGUGGCGGAACUAGGGGAGGGCUGAGGCGGGCUGCGGCCCUCCCCCAAAAAAUAGGAAAUUACUAAUAUACCCUUGGUAUUUUCAUAAAAUUACAUUAGUAUAAUACUAUAUAUAUUUGUGAAGGUAAUUAGAAAUGGAAGUGCAGCGUUAGCCUAGCUGGUAGAGGUUUCAAUGCCUAAUGCAUUGGAUUUGAAGGUCAUGGGUUCGAACCAUGCCUUCUUUGGUUUUGCUUUUUUUUUAUAUCAAAAAUCAACUUUAACACACAUUCUUGAGGAUAAAUGUCGUCUUAAACAUGUAAAUACAUAAUUUUGAGAUUAAUGUUUUUCUUAUGAUAUAUCAAUUCACAAUUUUUAUUUUUACCAAAAAAAAUAAAACACAACUAUUUUUAAUUUAUUUAAUUCGUGUGUAAUUAUUAUCUUAUAUUUAUUAAUGAAUAAAUUUCAAUCUAAUUUUUUUUUAUUGUCUAAUUAAGCAAGCAUUAGUUCAAAGUCAACUAUUGAUGAUUUCAAGUCAUUUGACAUACACAGUGUAUUAUUUUUUGGUAUGUAAUUUAAUUUUUUAAUUAUCAAAUUAUUGCUUAUUAUGACUUAAAUUUUUAUACACAAUAUAAUUUUUUUUAUUUAAUUUAUAUAUUAUAAAAAUUUUUAACGGCCCACCCAAAGAAAAAUUCCUAGUUCCGCCACUGGUGACACAGUUAAAAGAUCCAAUCAUUAGCCAUAUUUUUUUUAUUAUAGUUAUCUCGUUCCCGUAGUGAUGAGUGGAAACGUCAGCGCGAUGUACCAGAUGAAUAGUAUGCAUAUAGAAUAGAAUUAAUGUAGCAAAUAAUGUUUAUAAAACCUUUAUUCCAGCAAAUCUGAAUCUCGUGCAUCAGGUCCAAGAUUUCAGCAUUAAGAAUAUUCGAGUAUAACCAAUAUUCCCAUGGAAACCACUAAUAAAGCUUCCAUUGGAAUCUCUCUCUGAUUAAACCUCCAAACCCAGCUAUUCCCGGGUUAGUUAGUUUGCGCGCUCCCAUCCACAUUAAGAACAUAUGAAUCAGGGUUGCCUUUUUGCCGGGCAAUAAGUUGGGGUUGAUGGUUUGUAUUCUCCUUAUAUGCAACGCUGAAAGCAUGAGUAACAUCUCUAGUCAUAGCCUUAAUUGAUUUUUGAUAAUAAUUAAGUCAUAAGAGGUGUGUUGUUAUGAUUAUGAUAAAAAAUCUUUGAAUUUCUAGCACAUCAAAUGGUCCACAUGGUAAUAAGGAUCAUAAUACCAAUCUUAUCAAUAUUGUCAUGAAGAACGACAUUAGGACCCACCCAUAGUCAAGUUCCAAUUGGCCCUUGCUCGAUUACAACAAAAACAAUGAACCAAAAUUUCCGGCUCAUUUUCACACAGGGCAUGUGGUGUCCAAGGGGAUACACCUCUAUGAGUCAGGGUAACACGGUGCAACGCUUGGCAAAGAAAGAAUUUAAUAUUGGCUGGUAAUUUGAAGCCGAUCCAUAACCAUUUCCAAGACUAUAUGGAUAUAAGAGGAUUUGACUCCUCAUAAUUACAAUAAUAUUUAGUUUAAUGGGGAAACAAAAUUAAUAUAUAGUUGAAGAAUUUAAUUUUGUUUUCACUCAAAAGAUAUAUUUACUCAUUCAUGAUUUUAUUUUGAGUUAUUAGUAUUACUGUUUUUUUUUUAAUCCUACAAAAUUUGUUAGUGUUAAAAUUAUCUCAUAUUGUCAAUUUUGGGAUGAUUAAAAAAACAUUGCAAAGAUUAAAAGAAACAAAAAGGGUCAAAAAAGUAAUGUACAUAGCAAAGGUAAAACAACAAAAAAUAUUUUUAUAGAGAUUAUAAGAACAAAAACUGAUCUUCCCUCUGACAUUAAUUAUAAGUAAACUUAUUUUUUAUUCAGAAUUUUUGAAUAAUAACUGAUGCAUUUAAUAUUUAAUAUAAACUAAAUAUAUCAGUUAUUUAAUAAAUUUGAAUAGUAAUUUUUUUUCGAUAAUUAAGAUUUUAUUAAAAAGUUCUAUCCCAAAAGAAAAGAUGGUGAAAAAUACAAACGAACAACAAACUAUCAAAAACUAACAAAAGAUACCACUAAAAAACACCUACUCAAAAGAAGACAAAAAAGAAACUCCUCAACAAGAAACACCUCAUAAUGUUGGUGAAGAAACUAAGAACCCUUAACAAGUGACCACAAAUCACGCCUCAAAAAAAUCUUAAGAGAACAUAUAGCAGAAAAGAAAAUCAUCUAAAGCGCUUUGGAGUAAAUUUUUCUUAAACUUCGUUGGAGUUUAAAUAUUUUAGUCAGACCACCACAUGUUGGUAGUUGAUGAAAAAGUAUUUGAGUUGUUAUUUAUUUUAUGUUACAUGCAUUAAACUUUUGUCUUCUUUCACUGUCUAUAAAUAAUAAAGUAGUUCACCAAGAAAAAAUAUAUGGAAAUAUCAUCGAGUUGACCGUUUCUUCCUUAAUUAGUCUUCAUUCACAAUCACAUGUACUUACCAAGUUUCUUCACGUAGAAAAUUUUCAAAGCAUUUAUGAUUUUAUAUAUUUUGGAUCUAUACGCCACCCUCAAUUUGCUUAAUUUUCUUAUUCUUUUAUCUUCGAUAAUGACUUAUCCCCUUUGUCCUUGCUUUGAGUCAACAAAGUUCAGCGCGUUUCUUUCUUAGAAAAACUUAACAUACUGACUAAGAAGACUUCCAAGUCUUUAUUUGAGGAAUUUCUUUAUUGAUGUAAAGUUAUUAUUUGUGGAAAUUUUUUAAGAAGCCAAUUUUUCUAUUUAAUAAGCAAAGGCAAGUUGUUCUUUUAUAUAAAGACAUAGGGUGCGUUUGAAUCCGUUAAAGAGUAAGUACCGGACAGAACAACACAACACAUGACAGAACAGUACAGAACAAAAUAAAUUUUUAUGAUAUUGAACAAUUUUUUGUUUUAUAUGAUAUUUGGUGAACAAAAUGAUAUUUUAGUAUUUUAGACAAGUUGUACUUGAGACAAAAAGUUGUGUUGUGAUUAAGUGAGGGACAAAAAAUUCUGUUUUUGUGCUGUCCCUUGCCUCCAAAUUUGUCCAGUCCCUCAAACAGUUUUACAAUCAAACACAGUAUAACUGGAGUUGUCUUGUCCAGUCCCUUGUGUUUUUUAGCAGAUCAUCAAACGCAUCCAUAGUAAUAAGUACUAUUUAAGAAUUGUCUACAAACUCUAGUUUAACCGAUAAAAAUAUCGAAAUUGUUAAACUGUACGUCAUGAUCAGAAGCGAACCCUAACUCCCUCCCUUGUAUGUUAGUUUAUAAUAACUUUGGCAUUUUGUUAUUUUAACAACUUCAUGAUUUAUCAUAAUGUUAUGUAGCUAUGAUAUCUUUCUUUAAUUUAUUAGUCAAUGAAUAAAAUCAUUCACUUUUAACUCUAAAGUGAAUUGUUCGAGUCAAACGGUUGGGUUAUGGAAAUUUAUAUUGGACUCAAAACAAUUAUACAAAUAAAUUGGACACUACAUCUUAAUUCUAAACUUUAAGGCGUUAGAUUUAUGAAUUUUUUCACUUAUAAAAUAAUCGAUAUUUAUUUUUUUAAAUAAUGUGAAAUUUAUGAAUCGUGAUUGUGUUUCAUUGACUUGAAAACAGACCACCGCCUGGAAACUGCAGUUACAUUGUUGGCCCACGUCGUUGCAAGAUGCUAAAUAAGCUUUACCUGCAUCUCGGUGCUUCAGUCCACCAUGUGGGAUUCACACUUGGUCUAUUUCUUUGCAGUAAAACUAAUUGAAAAAUGUUAAU
RNAcentral lists this long non-coding RNA (4757 nucleotides) under Trifolium pratense (red clover). RNAcentral describes it as "long non-coding RNA (TPRA_LNC008013)". Lineage: Eukaryota; Viridiplantae; Streptophyta; Magnoliopsida; Fabales; Fabaceae. The record is from RNAcentral.